This 45-nucleotide non-coding RNA is filed under the name Trichobilharzia regenti. Lineage: Eukaryota; Metazoa; Platyhelminthes; Trematoda; Strigeidida; Schistosomatidae. The record is from RNAcentral.
CCACAGAUGAAGAGUCCCAAAUAGGACGAAAUGCGCAUCCUGGAU